AUACUUCAGGACUCGGUUCAACUGCCGGGAGUUCUUCAAGUUAGUUGGGAAAUCGAAAGUUAAUACCUUACGGAGAGUAUCAGCAAGAAAGCAACGUAUUCUGAGUGAUGCCAAGAUCUGCCUGGGAAUUACUGGCAACAAGCUGACGAAGGAGAGUGUGACCACAUUCGGUCGAUUAGUCUGUGAACUUGAUGGAGAUGCAAUCCUGACAUCUGAUAUAACUAUUCUGGAUGAAUUAAAAAAAUGUGGCACCUAUCAAGAAGAUCAGAAGAUUGCAAUUGAAGUUCUCCUCAGAAAUGGAAAAAGCAGAUAUGGUGUUCCUUCAUCCUGGUCCUCGUCUAC
Leucoraja erinaceus (little skate) is the source of this 342-nucleotide long non-coding RNA. RefSeq lists it as uncharacterized. NCBI's taxonomy places the organism in Eukaryota, Metazoa, Chordata, Chondrichthyes, Rajiformes, Rajidae. The record is from RefSeq and is a predicted model, not a curated record. The transcript is spliced from 3 exons.